RNAcentral lists this ribosomal RNA (433 nucleotides) under uncultured bacterium. RNAcentral's name for it is "partial 16S ribosomal RNA". It matches the Rfam family "Bacterial small subunit ribosomal RNA", at positions 29 to 507 of the family's 1533-position model. The record is from RNAcentral.
AACGAACGCUGGCGGCAGGCUUAACACAUGCAAGUCGAGCGAGACCUUCGGGUCUAGCGGCGGACGGGUGAGUAACGCGUGGGAACGUGCCCUUCUCUACGGAAUAGCCCCGGGAAACUGGGAGUAAUACCGUAUACGCCCUUUGGGGGAAAGAUUUAUCGGAGAAGGAUCGGCCCGCGUUGGAUUAGGUAGUUGGUGGGGUAAUGGCCCACCAAGCCGACGAUCCAUAGCUGGUUUGAGAGGAUGAUCAGCCAUACUGGGACUGAGACACGGCCCAGACUCCUACGGGAGGCAGCAGUGGGGAAUCUUAGACAAUGGGGGCAACCCUGAUCUAGCCAUGCCGCGUGAGUGAUGAAGGCCUUAGGGUUGUAAAGCUCUUUCAGCUGGGAAGAUAAUGACGGUACCAGCAGAAGAAGCCCCGGCUAACUCCGUG